ACACAAUAUCUAUUCAAAGCGGAGGAGAAGGAAACAAGAAAAAAAAUUCGAAAAGGGAGAAAGUAUACGUAAGAAAGUACAUAUUCUAUAUUGGAAGUUUGCCAGAAAAUCCAAAAACCACUGGCAUUCUGCCUUAUGUUCUCUAUUCCCAUUUUGUGGAAUCAGAGGAUCAACUAUCAUAAUCUCUUCUCAUCUUUCCAGAAUUUGAUUUUGUUUCCUCAAUUUCUAUAGCUACNNNNN
This 240-nucleotide long non-coding RNA is filed under the name Olea europaea (common olive). RNAcentral describes it as "long non-coding RNA (OEUR_LNC012070)". The record is from RNAcentral. Lineage: Eukaryota; Viridiplantae; Streptophyta; Magnoliopsida; Lamiales; Oleaceae.